AUACAGAGAGGGACAUCACAAACUGCGAGGGCGCAGAAGGAACAGUCGGAUGUCUUCACGGCUGCUGGUGGAAACUAUCCUCGUACGAGUCAACAGCCCCGGGUGUUCACAGCAGCACAAGUAAAGCU
This 128-nucleotide long non-coding RNA is filed under the name Cottoperca gobio. RNAcentral's name for it is "lncRNA (ENSCGOG00000017828.1)". Lineage: Eukaryota; Metazoa; Chordata; Actinopteri; Perciformes; Bovichtidae. The record is from RNAcentral.